CAUAGGAAAUUCCAUUCAUAUUGGUAAGAAAUCGAUCUCCCCAUCCCUAUAAAUGUUUCCGUUCUCCUAUCAACCAAAGUAGGAUAAUAUUGUCACUUAAACAUCAUGAAUAUUUUCAUAUUUUUUCCAAUUUGGACUUCUUUUUAUGGUGUGUCUUUUUCUUUACAGAUAAAUGCAAGUAUCUAGUUCACCCGCAAAGAACAACAUGCAAGGAUGUAACUGCUUCUAUCGGCCGUGAGUGCAAUCUGUCAAAAUGCGAGGGGACCUGCAAAGAUUUGAUUGGAGCGGAACUCACGGCCUCAUGGUGUAUCAACCCCGUCCCAUACUAUUGGCAUUGUAGGUGCCGUAUCUGUUUGUAGAGUUGCACUGAACAAUCAUGUCGAAAAAUGGACAAAUGAUGUGAUCCAAUAAUAAAAUAUUCCAGUGACAUGCAUCUAAGAAUACAUAACGAUUGCCAAAUUUAGGUGUUCUAUUCAAUUUUGUCCUGUGCGAUAUUGAUCUCGUAAUUUUAGGUUUGCAUGGCCUCCUGAUAUAUAAGUUAAAAA
Molecule: long non-coding RNA, 545 nt
Filed under: Triticum aestivum (bread wheat)
Lineage: Eukaryota; Viridiplantae; Streptophyta; Magnoliopsida; Poales; Poaceae
Description: long non-coding RNA (TAES_LNC026502)
Source: RNAcentral